This 77-nucleotide small RNA is filed under the name Flavobacterium sp. 120. RNAcentral's name for it is "Flavo-1 RNA". The stretch from base 9 to 77 matches the Rfam family "Flavo-1 RNA", at positions 9 to 76 of the family's 76-position model. The record is from RNAcentral. Lineage: Bacteria; Pseudomonadati; Bacteroidota; Flavobacteriia; Flavobacteriales; Flavobacteriaceae.
UCGCGUAAGGGAUUGCGGCGGCAUCCUUUAUUUUUUUUUUUUUAAAAAUAAAGAUAGAGCCAAAAGCCCGACCCCAA